AUUGAACGCUGGCGGCAGGCUUAACACAUGCAAGUCGAGCGGGGAAAGGUAGCUUGCUACCUGACCUAGCGGCGGACGGGUGAGUAAUGCUUAGGAAUCUGCCUAUUAGUGGGGGACAACAUCUCGAAAGGGAUGCUAAUACCGCAUACGUCCUACGGGAGAAAGCAGGGGACCUUCGGGCCUUGCGCUAAUAGAUGAGCCUAAGUCGGAUUAGCUAGUUGGUGGGGUAAAGGCCUACCAAGGCGACGAUCUGUAGCGGGUCUGAGAGGAUGAUCCGCCACACUGGGACUGAGACACGGCCCAGACGCCUACGGGAGGCAGCAGUGGGGAAUAUUGGACAAUGGGGGGAACCCUGAUCCAGCCAUGCCGCGUGUGUGAAGAAGGCCUUUUGGUUGUAAAGCACUUUAAGCGAGGAGGAGGCUACCGAGAUUAAUACUCUUGGAUAGUGGACGUUACUCGCAGAAUAAGCACCGGCUAACUCUGUG
RNAcentral lists this ribosomal RNA (485 nucleotides) under uncultured bacterium. RNAcentral's name for it is "partial 16S ribosomal RNA". It matches the Rfam family "Bacterial small subunit ribosomal RNA", at positions 30 to 507 of the family's 1533-position model. The record is from RNAcentral.